This 349-nucleotide ribosomal RNA is filed under the name uncultured soil bacterium. RNAcentral's name for it is "bacterial SSU rRNA". It matches the Rfam family "Bacterial small subunit ribosomal RNA", at positions 26 to 382 of the family's 1533-position model. The record is from RNAcentral.
AGGACGAACGCUGGCGGCGUGCUUAACACAUGCAAGUCAAGGGGGCCCAGCAAUGGGCAACCGGCGAACGGGUGCGUAACACGUGAGCAACCUACCGAACUGUGGGGGAUAGCCGGCCUAACGGCCGAGUAAUACCGCAUACGCUCACAGAGAGGCAUUUCUUUGAGAGGAAACCUACGGGACAGAUCGAGGGGCUCGCGGCCUAUCAGCUAGUUGGCGAGGUAACGCUCACCAAGGCAACGACGGGUAGCUGGUCUGAGAGGAUGGCCAGCCACAUUGGGACUGAGAUACGGCCAGACUCCUACGGGAGGCAGCGAGGUGGGGAAGUCUUGCGCGAAUGGCCUAACGG